Long non-coding RNA from Cydia fagiglandana, 358 nucleotides. RefSeq lists it as uncharacterized. The record is from RefSeq and is a predicted model, not a curated record. Lineage: Eukaryota; Metazoa; Arthropoda; Insecta; Lepidoptera; Tortricidae. The transcript has 4 exons.
UUACAGAAACCAACUGCUACUGGAAAAGUGGGUUAGGUUAGGUUAGAACUGCGACCUUUACAGAAACCAACUGUUGCUAGAAAAGUGGGUUAGGUUAGAACUGCGACCUUCACAGAAACCAACUGCUACUAGAAAAAUCGGUUAGGUUAGAACUGCGACCUUCACAGAAACCAACUGCUACUAGAAAAGUGGGUUAGGUUAGAACUGCGACCUUUACAGAAACCAACUGUUGCUAGAAAAGUGGGUUAGGUUAGAACUGCGACCUUCACAGAAACCAACUGCUACUAGAAAAAUCGGUUAGGUUAGAACUGCGACCUUCACAGAAACCAACUGCUACUAGAAAAGUGGGUUAGGUUAG